Non-coding RNA from Pelobates cultripes (western spadefoot toad), 157 nucleotides. Lineage: Eukaryota; Metazoa; Chordata; Amphibia; Anura; Pelobatidae. The record is from the annotation of a GenBank genome assembly.
GCUGACACAUUCCAGCCAAUCAGCAGCAGACCCUCCCUCCCAGACCCUCCCACCUCCUGGACAGCAUCCAUUUUGAAGCAGCAUUCUUAGUGAGCUGUCCAGGAGUUGGGAGGGUCUAGGAGGGAGGGUCUGCUUCUGAUUGGCUGGAAUGUGUCUG